GGGGGUGACUGGCUUCGACGUCGGUCGCGAAACCAUCGGAGCAUGCCGAGGUGCAGAGUUCCUCGCAAAUCCAGCUGCACAACAAUAGUUGCCAACGACGACAACUACGCACUGGCGGCUUAAGUCCCGCUAGUCCUUCCACCCGGCUCGCCUGUCGGCUUGGGCUCGGAAGGUCAUUCCAGACAGGAUCGCUUGCCGGCUGUGCCUGUUAGCCGGCUGCUAAAGGUAAGCAGGCUCGCCGUCCGGUAAGUUUGUCUGCCGACUGGCCGGACGGUUAACUUGAAGCGCAGACUAAGCAUGUAGUUGCCGGUGAGCGUAGGGCUUGCGGACGCGGGUUCAAUUCCCGCCACCUCCACCA
RNAcentral lists this transfer-messenger RNA (358 nucleotides) under Arenicellales. RNAcentral's name for it is "VYFG01 sp009842505 Standard tmRNA". It matches the Rfam family "transfer-messenger RNA". From Rfam's summary of the family: Bacterial tmRNA, also known as 10Sa RNA or SsrA, is named for its dual tRNA and mRNA-like properties. Its role is to liberate the mRNA from a stalled ribosome. The record is from RNAcentral. Lineage: Bacteria; Pseudomonadati; Pseudomonadota; Gammaproteobacteria. RNAcentral also lists the same sequence under 1 other name.